Molecule: ribosomal RNA, 492 nt
Filed under: uncultured bacterium
Lineage: Bacteria
Description: partial 16S ribosomal RNA
Rfam family: Bacterial small subunit ribosomal RNA
Source: RNAcentral
AGUGAACGCUGGCGGUAGGCCUAACACAUGCAAGUCGAACGGCAGCACAGUAAGAGCUUGCUCUUACGGGUGGCGAGUGGCGGACGGGUGAGGAAUACAUCGGAAUCUACUUUUUCGUGGGGGAUAACGUAGGGAAACUUACGCUAAUACCGCAUACGACCUACGGGUGAAAGCAGGGGAUCUUCGGACCUUGCGCGAUUGAAUGAGCCGAUGUCGGAUUAGCUAGUUGGCGGGGUAAAGGCCCACCAAGGCGACGAUCCGUAGCUGGUCUGAGAGGAUGAUCAGCCACACUGGAACGGAGACACGGUCCAGACGCCUACGGGAGGCAGCAGUGGGGAAUAUUGGACAAUGGUCGCAAGCCUGAUCCAGCCAUACCGCGUGGGUGAAGAAGGCCUUCGGGUUGUAAAGCCCUUUUGUUGGGAAAGAAAAGCAGCAGGUUAAUACCCCGCUGUUCUGACGGUAACCAAAGAAUAAGCACCGGCUAACUUCGUG